GAUGAACGCUGGCGGCGUGCCUAAUACAUGCAAGUCGAGCGAACGGACGAGAAGCUUGCUUCUCUGAUGUUAGCGGCGGACGGGUGAGUAACACGUGGAUAACCUACCUAUAAGACUGGGAUAACUUCGGGAAACCGGAGCUAAUACCGGAUAAUAUAUUGAACCGCAUGGUUCAAAAGUGAAAGACGGUCUUGCUGUCACUUAUAGAUGGAUCCGCGCUGCAUUAGCUAGUUGGUAAGGUAACGGCUUACCAAGGCAACGAUGCAUAGCCGACCUUAGAGGGUGACCGGCCACACUUGAACUGAGACACGGUCCAGACUCUUACGGGAGGCAGCAGUAGGGAAUCUUCCGCAAUGGGCGAAAGCCUGACGGAGCAACGCCGCGUGAGUGAUGAAGGUCUUCGGAUCGUAAAACUCUGUUAUUAGGGAAGAACAUAUGUGUAAGUAACUGUGCACAUCUUGACGGUACCUAAUCAGAAAGCCACGGCUAACUACGUG
RNAcentral lists this ribosomal RNA (497 nucleotides) under uncultured bacterium. RNAcentral describes it as "partial 16S ribosomal RNA". It matches the Rfam family "Bacterial small subunit ribosomal RNA", at positions 28 to 507 of the family's 1533-position model. The record is from RNAcentral.